GACUGCGUAGCUCAGUUGGCAGAGCAUUGGGCUAGUAUUCCAAAGGUCGUAGGUUCGAUUCCCACCGUGGCCG
RNAcentral lists this transfer RNA (73 nucleotides) under Paramuricea clavata. It matches the Rfam family "tRNA". From Rfam's summary of the family: Transfer RNA (tRNA) molecules are approximately 80 nucleotides in length. Their secondary structure includes four short double-helical elements and three loops (D, anti-codon, and T loops). Further hydrogen bonds mediate the characteristic L-shaped molecular structure. tRNAs have two regions of fundamental functional importance: the anti-codon, which is responsible for specific mRNA codon recognition, and the 3' end, to which the tRNAs corresponding amino acid is attached (by aminoacyl-tRNA synthetases). tRNAs cope with the degeneracy of the genetic code in two manners: having more than one tRNA (with a specific anti-codon) for a particular amino acid; and 'wobble' base-pairing, i.e. permitting non-standard base-pairing at the 3rd anti-codon position. The record is from Rfam by way of RNAcentral. Lineage: Eukaryota; Metazoa; Cnidaria; Anthozoa; Malacalcyonacea; Plexauridae.